This is a long non-coding RNA of Callorhinus ursinus (northern fur seal), 2403 nucleotides long. RefSeq lists it as uncharacterized. Lineage: Eukaryota; Metazoa; Chordata; Mammalia; Carnivora; Otariidae. The record is from RefSeq and is a predicted model, not a curated record.
UCUUUCUCUGUCGAAUAAAUAAAUAAAAUAUAUAUGUAUAUAUUUGCAUAUUUUACUACAGACUUUUGAGGCCAUGUAUUUCCGAAUAUCCUGUUGGAAUAAUUUCAUUCAUUGUGUAUUUUAGAAAAAAAAUUCAUUGGUCUCAUCUUUUGACAGUCAUUUAUGAGUAACACUCCUGAUAUAGGACUCAACUGCUAUGUAGACAAGUGGUAAAUGUCUCCAUAUUUUGACUGCCUGGAAAAGCACUAUGUUUGUACAUAGUUUGCAGGUCAACAUGGAGACUGCUGUGUUUCAUACAUGUUAAAAUUAACAUGUAUAGCAUGUAAAAAAUGUUAAUUAGCAAUGUCCCGUAAGAGCUAUCAGUGUUAAGGUUAGAUUCUGCCAGUUGACAUUCACGAGUUUUUGAAAACUGCACAUUCAGCUAAAAUACCACUUAAUUCAUUUAAAUGGAAACUUUGUUUUUCAGUGAAAUAGUACCUGUUCAGUUUCCUUGUAGAUCUCAGGAUCAGAAGAAAGGCUUUCUCCCAGCUCUAAAAUAUUCAGGUUUUCUUUUACUCAUUCUGGUCAGCCUUUUAAACAAGCAAGACAAUAAGCUCCUAUUUCUCAUAUCCUACAAUAUGUGGGGAUACACGUCUAAUGAUUCCAAUUAAAAAAAAAAUAAACCUUGCAAGAUUGUUUUUUCUCCUUAGGAACAUCAUUGCUUUCUGGAGGCAGAAAUGAUUUUACUUUUGAAAUUGAAGGUUAGAGAUCCAUGCAGUUUUGUGUCCUUGAUGUAUGCAAGUUACAUACAGCUUGCCUCUGCAGAUAAACACAAAUUUUGUGUGAUUUUUAAAAAUUAUUUUGGAAGUGCAAAGACUAGCAAGGAAGAUGUGAGAAGUUUAUUUUAUAUAUUUCAAAAUCUUGUGGACUUUUUUGUGGUAUGGGGAGCAGGUAGUGAUGAGUCUUACUAUGAAUGCCUUCAUUAUACCCCAUCCUCAACUCAGACUUUAUUACUCACUGUUACCUAAUGAACUAAAAACAGUUAAUGAUCAUUUGUUUGCUUCAGUGUCUGUAAGCUCCUCCUUUGUUUUUCCUCUAUUCCCCUUAGCCCCUCUCCUGGUGCGUUACCAUACAAAAAGUACUCAAUAACUAUUUGUUGGGUGAGUAAUCAGCACAUUUUCAAAACUCUGAAUCUAUCCAGAUCUGAAAGACAAAAAAAAAAAAGUCCUCUCCGCCAGUCCCUAGCCAAUCACAAAUGUAUUUAGAUCUGUGAGGCUGAUUCCAAGAUGGAGGUCUGCACCCUAACUAGGGGGGGCAUAUGGACCUCACCUGGAAGGUGGCAACAGAAUGCCGAAGGCACCACCCUCCCGCUGCUGCACACUUCCAGUCCUGCCUGCACUGGAAUUGAGCAAAGUGUGUGGGGGAGGAUGCGGCGUGUCUGAACCCUGUUAUGGGGCCCCUUCUUUCCCUCACCUCCGCACCACCACCCCACUGACCUCUGCUCGCCUCUGGGGCUGGGGCUGCUGCUGCAGUCUGGAACCUCGACCUGCCAGGACUGUCUCGGGCCCAGGCCAGGUCCACCACUCUUGCCCUGUGACCUUCAGAUGGUCCUGCUGUUCCUAACUGGCUGGGGUUUUGUCUGUUUUUUUCCAAGGAAGUAGGAAGUUCCAGCAGAAGAUUGUUAAGAAAGGCAUUCCUCUGGCGAGCUUGCCUUGAAUUGGGAGAAUCUAGGACAAUUCCCUCAGGAUGUUUUCAGGGCUGCUUUUUGUCCAGAUCAUUUGAUGUUCAAGAAAAGAAGUACUCAUUUUUCACAUUCAAUUCCUCAUGGCAAGUUGAAGGACGAGGAGAAAAUUGAAGUGGAUCAAGAAUUUGCUCAGAAUGCUGUCUGAAGAUUUCUGCAUCAGUAACUGAGGAGCAAAGGAAAUCUGCCCAGUGGCCCUCCAGCAGAUUUCUCCACAUAUCUAACUGGCCACAACACUGCCUCCCUACAUUUAAUGGAUGUUGAGAAAGUGAGUAUCUCACUUUUCAGCUUCUAUAGUAGAAAAUGGCAGUGAGAAGUCAAUUUCAAAUAGAUUUUGGGUUAAACCACAAAUAUUCUCUUUCCCAAGUGCCCCAUUAGACAGGAAUCUCUUUAAUCACUCAUUUCUAUUUUGCAUUUUCCCUCUUUUUUUCUCUCUCACCCUGAUUAUAAAAGAUAAUAUAUGUAAUUUGUAGACACUGAGUCCUGAUAUCCCGACUCUUGAGAACAGUGCCUCAAAUCACCUUCCAAAUGAGACAUUCGCUUUUUCUAUAUGAUAUCUCAAUCAUUCUAAUCUUGUUUGUUCAUUCCCUGUUUUGAAUUCACUCACUCUCUGAAGAAUGAUCAAACAAACCCUCCUAAGUAGGCUUCCUUUCACACAAAUCCUGAGGAAACUUGUUGUCUUA